Molecule: long non-coding RNA, 1838 nt
Organism: Chenopodium quinoa (quinoa)
Lineage: Eukaryota; Viridiplantae; Streptophyta; Magnoliopsida; Caryophyllales; Amaranthaceae
Exons: 3
Source: RefSeq, a predicted model, not a curated record
GGGUGGUUGGGGGUUUAUGCGGUAGGGAUAGGGGUUUUUUAGGGAUUUUUCCGGAGUAGGGAGGGGAGAUUUGUGGUGGGGGUCACUAGUACAUAAUUGAGUUUAUGUAACACGUUUUAGUAACACUUUUUGAAAUGCAAAAUUAUUAGAUUUAUAAGUAACACUUUGGUAACUUUUUUUAGAAUGUAACACUCAAUGUAACACUAUUAUCAUAAGUAACAUUAUAAAGUAACACUUUUGAAAUAGGUAACAUUUUAGGGUAACACUAAACCAUUUUUUUUUUUUUUUUUUUGGAAAAAUAUGGUAACACUAAGUCACUAACCUUAUUUCUAUAUCACCCCUAGCAACAAAUGACAUUUUUGUCCUUUCUUUUUCUUUUUUCUCUGUUUUGGUUUCAGUUUUACCUUUUUACUUAAUGUCUUCUUCUCUCUCCUCUAAGGUGAGGCAAAACAAGCUGCGAAGGAAGAGGACGAAGCAGCUGGAGGACCCGCGUCACAGCCAAUAGCACCGGCGAGAUGGACCAACAAAAGAGCGGCAUCAACUGCAGAAAACACGCCACUUUUAACAAUAAAAAGCUGCGAAACUUCUUGGGUUUUUAUUGUUUCGUCAGUGUGGCGGCCAUAGCAAUGGGCCUGGUGAUCGAGGUAGAGAUGAUCGCAUUUCGAGCAGAAAUCAACCAACAUCUUAAGGGAAUUGUUAUAGGUUUUUAAAAAAGGUUCAUUAAUGGCGGACAUAACACAUGGGUGGAGCAGAGUUGUCCGCAUUUGAGGACUUUAUAGUCUGAACUCUGAAUAUUGAACAAUGUUCGAUCAAGUCCAGAACAAUUCAGAUAGUUGCUGGUACUGCAUCAUCUAUCAUGCUCAAGGGAUUGACAACUCAAUAUAUAGUCCACAGCAGUUUCAAGGUACACUGCAUUCUUCUCUCUGUGAUUAUUGACUAUAAGCCUGGUAAAUUGUAAAUUUAACAUCUCAUAAUGAACUUCAGACUAGGACUUGGUUCUAAUACUCUCCCUUGUUUCUGGUGUGUAUUUAUAAAUGAAGUUAUGCUCGCCCAUGACAAUGACCUAGUUGUAUAUCUAAGUAUGUUGUUCAACAUUCAAUUUGAUGACAGUUAUUAGCACAGCACACAUGUCAGUUAUCAUUGGCAUAUCUUUUUACUUGUUUUAUAAGUCAUUAAGUAGCUUGCAUAUGAAAACAUAUACCUUAAGAACCACUCAUGAAGUCUACACUUCUAGUGAACAUGUGUAGCAAGUAUCAUCUCAGUCUGUUUCUACUGAAGGCACAAACAGUACCACAAGUUUAUUUUUAAGAAGAGAUUUUUUUUUCUUCGCGUUAUUCAGAUCCAAACUUUAGAAUGAUCAGAGGAAAGGGUUGUUAUAAGCUGUAAUAUUGUCUAUUCUUCCAACUUAUAAGCUGUAGUAUUAAGCUGUUUCCUUAUAGCUGAAUUAAUGCAGAGAGAAGUAAAUUCUUGCCCACUUCUUCAUAGCAAGUAUAUGUCCUUAGGUUUUGAUGCUUGCUUGAUGCUACUGCUGCUGGUGUUGCCUGUUGCUGUUGGUCGGCUUAUGUGCUGCUGAUGUUCAGCUUCCGAGUUGCUGCUGUUCUGUUUCCGAGCUGCUGAUGUUCUGCUUUCGAGCUGCAAUUGUUUUGCACAUUGUAAUUUUUUAUUUAUUUGUUGUAAUUGUAAUAUUACAAGCAUUUAUUAAUAAAAUUAUCUAUGUUUUAUAUAUGUAUAUAUAAUGGUUUGUCUAUCAAUAUUACUUUUUUUUUUUUUUCCUUUUCUAGGCAUAAAGGGCACCAGUUCAAGGGAAGAACUUGUGCCCUUUAUCGACAUUAAGGGCA